GCACCUGGUCCCCCUUGGUGCCCUAUGCAAACUCGCCCCCCACCGCCAGCUGUUCCGCUAGAUGGAGUGUCAGUGCGCCACGUUACAGAAGAGAGGGAAGAGAAUCUUCCUGGGAUGAGGAAGGGGCGACUAAGCCCGAAAUUAAAAAACUGGAGUACGCUAAUGGGACUGUAGAAGUGGCUCCGCAGGAGCUGACGGAUCAUAAAACACUGACCUCUGUUGGUGGAGCACACGGAGCUUAUUAUACACUGGGUAAGUUAGUGAACGUGGCUGGCA
Long non-coding RNA from Camelus dromedarius (Arabian camel), 276 nucleotides. RefSeq lists it as uncharacterized. Lineage: Eukaryota; Metazoa; Chordata; Mammalia; Artiodactyla; Camelidae. The record is from RefSeq and is a predicted model, not a curated record. The transcript is spliced from 3 exons.